CACCGAUGACAGCUGAAGCGUUAAUUUGUACCCAAAAUUGGCUCCGAAACUCUCCAAAACUUGUCCUUGAGGAACUCAUCGAGGAAUUGGAGAAGUUGGAAUUAGAAGUUGCACCCACUCGUGAUCCCAAUGAAGAAGAUUCUGGUGUUGAGUCUGAUUAAAGUACAUCUUGUUAAGUUGUUAUGGUUGGUUUACAUUAUGAAGUUAGCUAUUUUGUUGGAGAAGACACCAUAACUUUGCUA
This is a non-coding RNA of Arachis ipaensis, 242 nucleotides long. The record is from RefSeq and is a predicted model, not a curated record. NCBI's taxonomy places the organism in Eukaryota, Viridiplantae, Streptophyta, Magnoliopsida, Fabales, Fabaceae.